RNAcentral lists this ribosomal RNA (460 nucleotides) under uncultured bacterium. RNAcentral's name for it is "partial 16S ribosomal RNA". It matches the Rfam family "Bacterial small subunit ribosomal RNA", at positions 338 to 795 of the family's 1533-position model. The record is from RNAcentral.
CCUACGGGUGGCAGCAGUGAGGAAUAUUGGUCAAUGGACGCGAGUCUGAACCAGCCAAGUAGCGUGCAGGAUGACUGCCCUAUGGGUUGUAAACUGCUUUUAUACGGGGAUAAACCAAGAUACGCGUAUCUUCUUGUAUGUACCAUAUGAAUAAGGAUCGGCUAACUCCGUGCCAGCAGCCGCGGUAAUACGGAGGAUCCGAGCGUUAUCCGGAUUUAUUGGGUUUAAAGGGAGCGUAGGCGGACGGUUAAGUGAGUUGUGAAAUCUUGCGGCUCAACCGUGGAAUUGCAGUUGAAACUGGGAGUCUUGAGUGCAGUAGAGGUAGGCGGAAUUCGUGGUGUAGCGGUGAAAUGCUUAGAGAUCACGAAGAACUCCGAUUGCGAAGGCAGCUCACCGGACUGCUACUGACGCUGAGGCUCGAAAGUGUGGGUAUCAAACAGGAUUAGAUACCCCAGUAGUC